Molecule: transfer RNA, 72 nt
Filed under: Salmo salar (Atlantic salmon)
Lineage: Eukaryota; Metazoa; Chordata; Actinopteri; Salmoniformes; Salmonidae
Rfam family: tRNA
About the family: Transfer RNA (tRNA) molecules are approximately 80 nucleotides in length. Their secondary structure includes four short double-helical elements and three loops (D, anti-codon, and T loops).
Source: Rfam by way of RNAcentral
CAGCAGGUUGCUUAGUGGUUAAGAGCAUUCGGCCAGUAACCGAAAGGUCGCUGGUUCGAAUCCCACUACUGA